This is a long non-coding RNA of Calidris pugnax (ruff), 2034 nucleotides long. RefSeq lists it as uncharacterized. The transcript is spliced from 5 exons. The record is from RefSeq and is a predicted model, not a curated record. NCBI's taxonomy places the organism in Eukaryota, Metazoa, Chordata, Aves, Charadriiformes, Scolopacidae.
GCCGAUGCCAAUCGAAACCAAUCAACAGUGACGGUUGGACCGUGGGGAGAGGGAGACCUACCACCAGGAUGAAUGGUUGCUCUUGAAGAAAGCCUCCAAGAAACAGGCUGGAAGAAAAGACAGUCGCAGAGAAAGGUUGCCUUUUCAAACUAAUUAACACAAACCUGCUGCUCCCCCCCAAGCUUUUCAAGUGUCUCUCUCACAUGGAGCAAGAAACACAACUGGUGUCGUCUCUUCCGUAGGGAGACAGGGAGCGAGCUGAGUGCCAGGGACUAAACACACACUUUGAGUCAGCAAACAGAAUUUUGGAUUAGCUAAAAAAGAGGAGGGAAGCAAGCAAGCCAGCCAGAAAGUAUUCCCUCCUUCUUCUUCAAGUUCAAUACUAUUCUGGGUGUUUUGAGAACUGGGUGGUGCUUACCUGUAUCAGUAACAAUGUGCCCAGCAACCCUGAGGAGACUGUAGAGCCACCAUGAUCACAUGAGUCUUAGCAGAAGGAACCUUGGAAAUGGAAAUUAGCAGUUCAACGAUAUUAUUGUGGUGAAGUGACUAAAUCUGUGGAUGGAUGGAAAUGAGGUCCUCUGUAAGGGCCGAAGUCUGCCAAUACAAAAACAUAAAGCCUUCUAACAGCUUGCGUGGGAGGCACAGUCUUCACAAAACAAGCAAAGCAAGCAGUUUCCUGAAAAAAAGGAAGGAAGGAGACGUGGGUCAGAGACCCCAUUCCACAGUGGGGCAUCGACAGAAGACAGCACGGCCUGAUUCCACUCUUUGGGAACACGUAAGAAUUAGACAGCAACUGUGGGAUUGGAGACUUCUUGUCUUGCCAUCCCUCACCCUGUUCCUGUGCCAGGGGUAGGAGAAGCCUUCCUGUAGCCACUCAUGGGAGAGAGGCACAUUCUCAGCCACAUCAUCCCUCCUUCACAACAUUUUGACAUAGCUUUCUACUUUCUCUGGACACCUUGUUGCUUCCCAUUUUGAAGAAAUUGGGAAUUUUCUGGUCUGGUCAUUUCUGAGUCAAAAUGAACGGAUGCACAUCAGCUUACACAAGGGCAAGACAUCAAUUUUUUUGGUGUGUGUAUCUACAUCUUCACCUUCCUUUGCAAAUGUAACACCACUCUGAAACAAUCUCCUCCACCACCAGAUGAUUUUCCCUCCUGUUGGGUGAGGGGCUGAGGUCAGAUGUUUAAGCAGCCUCAAGUUCUUAGCAGCGUUACUUCUAUGUAAAUAUAAACAGGAAGAAGAAAUGCUUUAUCAUUAGUUCUUUUGUCCAAGAGCUCAGAGACACCAGCAAGAGACACCUACUCAAACAUCAGGAGGAAGAUGAGGCACUUUAUCUGUACAGCUCAGGAGACGGAUUCCUCAGCACCACCAAACUCUUUUAGCAUUUUUACACCAUCAAAAAUCCCUUCUGAGGAAAAGAAUUCCCAACAAACCCACAUUUUGCCAGGUAAUAACCCAAACCCACACCUACCUGCAGCUCCUUCUUCUGGAAGACAAGUCAGGCAUUUGGAAUAAUAAUAAAAAAAGUGUUAUUUAUUUUCACUGCUUUAAUCUCUCUACUGUAGUGUUAGCACUUAACAUAAGCAUCCACUCUUCUACUGUCCUAUUUACAAUCCAUUGAAAUGUAGACUCUACAAAUACAAUACAUAUUUUUCAGAAAUGUAAAGGAAAUGCACAAUUUCGUAAGGUUUUUAAAAAAGUGACACUCAUCUGUACAGAAUCCUCAAAUCAUCCGAAAAAAACAGGAGAAUUUACAAGUCAGUAUCCACACAGCUACGUAAGGGCAGGUGCUACAGUAACAAAGCAGCAAACUUGCUAAUACAAUAAAAGACAGAAAAAAUUAAAGUGUUUUGGGGCACCAGGUAAUACAUUUAGUACCGCUCAAGUUGGUAAAUUUAGUAAUUACCCAUCUUUCUAGAAAGACGUUAACUGCAAACUUGGAGAAUGUUCUGAAAAAAAUAUUAAACACUAUAUACACAUGAGGUAAAUGUACCUUGGUCUUUUAAGAGGUAAUUUGAGUUUAAAGCAACUGAUAUG